This 355-nucleotide long non-coding RNA is filed under the name Homo sapiens (human). RNAcentral's name for it is "HSALNT0094258". Lineage: Eukaryota; Metazoa; Chordata; Mammalia; Primates; Hominidae. The record is from RNAcentral.
GAGAGAGAGGAAGGGUGAGAAUUUCUCGCACACUCUCUCCUAGAGCUUGGCAGUGCUUGUCUGUCCGUGGAUGUCAGAGCUCUAGGUCUUCCACCUUUGUACUCUAGGACUCAUACCAGCAGUUCCUAGGCUCUCCAGCCUUCAGCCUUGGACUGAGAAUGUUACCACCAGCUUCCCUGAUUCCCAGGCCUUCGGACUUGGUCUGAACCACACUACCGGCUUUCUUGGUUCUUCAGCUUCCAGAUGGCCUAUUGUGGGAUUUCUCAGCCUCUGUAAUUGUAAAAGAAACUACAGGGAUUUAAGUGGAGAGACAAUAAAAGAAGAGGAGAAAUAUUCACAGAUAAAGAGGAGGAAA